UGGGGAAUAUUGGACAAUGGGCGGAAGCCUGAUCCAGCCAUGCCGCGUGUGUGAAGAAGGCCUUUUGGUUGUAAAGCACUUUAAGCGAGGAGGAGGCUACUUGGAUUAAUACUCUAGGAUAGUGGACGUUACUCGCAGAAUAAGCACCGGCUAACUCUGUGCCAGCAGCCGCGGUAAUACAGAGGGUGCGAGCGUUAAUCGGAUUUACUGGGCGUAAAGCGUGCGUAGGCGGCUUCUUAAGUCGGAUGUGAAAUCCCUGAGCUUAACUUAGGAAUUGCAUUCGAUACUGGGAAGCUAGAGUAUGGGAGAGGAUGGUAGAAUUCCAGGUGUAGCGGUGAAAUGCGUAGAGAUCUGGAGGAAUACAGAUGGCGAAGGCAGCCAUCUGGCCUAAUACUGACGCUGAGGUACGAAAGCAUGGGGAGCAAACAGG
This 430-nucleotide ribosomal RNA is filed under the name Acidobacteriota bacterium. RNAcentral's name for it is "Acidobacteria bacterium partial 16S ribosomal RNA". It matches the Rfam family "Bacterial small subunit ribosomal RNA", at positions 355 to 776 of the family's 1533-position model. The record is from RNAcentral. Lineage: Bacteria; Pseudomonadati; Acidobacteriota.